GUACAAUUGGUAGAGGAGCAUUCUUAACUGCGACGAAGCUGUACCGAAAGGAGCAGUGGAGUGUUAAGAAGAGAGAAUGCCGGAAUGAGUAGCGAGAUAGAAGUGAGAAUCUUCUAGGCCGAAUAUCUAAGGUUUCCAGAGUAAAGCUGAUCUGCUCUGGGUAAGUCGGGACCUAAGGCGAGGUCGAAAGACGUAGUCGAUGGACAACAGGUUGAGAUUCCUGUACCUUAUAGAAACAGAACUGUGGGGACGCAGGGUGAAAGCCAGAGCCGGGAAUGGAAAGACCGGUACAAGCGAAGUACCAGACUGACAGGCAAAUCCGUCAGUCAAUGGGAAGGCGUGAUGUGGACCGAAAUAUAAGUAGGGAAGCUGGUGAGCAAACUGCCAAGAAAAGCUGCUAUUGUUUUCUAUAAGCCCGUACCGUAAACCGACACAGGUGGAUGAGGAGAGAAUCCUAAGGCCGACGGGAGAAGCAUUGUUAAGGAACUCGGCAAAAUGACCCCGUAACUUCGGGAGAAGGGGUGCCUGUAGAAAUACAGGCCGCAGAGAAUUGGCCCAAGCAACUGUUUAGCAAAAACACAGGUCUAUGCAAAACCGAAAGGUGAAGUAUAUGGGCUGACGCCUGCCCGGUGCUGGAAGGUUAAGGGGAGAUGUUAGCAGUCGACGUGUCGACUUGCGAAGCAUUGAACUUAAGCCCCAGUAAACGGCGGCCGUAACUAUAACGGUCCUAAGGUAGCGAAAUUCCUUGUCGGGUAAGUUCCGACCCGCACGAAAGGCGUAAUGAUUUGGGCACUGUCUCGACAAUGCACCCGGUGAAAUUGAAAUACCAGUGAAGAUGCUGGUUACCUGCGCCAGGACGGAAAGACCCCAUGGAGCUUUACUCUAGCUUGAUACUGGGAUUCGGUAUUGCAUGUACAGGAUAGGUGGGAGACUAGGAAGCGGUGACGCCAGUUGCCGCAGAGUCAUUGUUGGGAUACCACCCUUGCAGUAUUGAGUUUCUAACAUGUGCCCGUGAUCCGGGCAGUGGACAAUGUCAGGUGGGGAGUUUGACUGGGGCGGUCGCCUCCGAAAGGGUAUCGGAGGCGCUCAAAGGUCUUCUCAGAAUGGUUGGAAACCAUUCGCAGAGUGCAAAGGCAUAAGAAGGCUUGACUGCGACACCGACGGGUGGAGCAGGUACGAAAGUAGGACUUAGUGAUCCGGUGGUAUAAAGUGGGAUUGCCAUCGCUCAACGGAUAAAAGCUACCCUGGGGAUAACAGGCUUAUCACUCCCAAGAGUUCACAUCGACGGAGUGGUUUGGCACCUCGAUGUCGGCUCAUCGCAUCCUGGGGCUGUAGUAGGUCCCAAGGGUUGGGCUGUUCGCCCAUUAAAGCGGUACGCGAGCUGGGUUCAGAACGUCGUGAGACAGUUCGGUCCCUAUCCGGCGCGGGCGUAGGAUAUUUGAGAGGAGCUGACCUUAGUACGAGAGGACCGGGUUGGACGAACCGCUGGUGUAUCGGUUGUCAUACCAAUGGCAUGGCCGAGUAGCCAAGUUUGGAAGGGAUAAACGCUGAAGGCAUCUAAGCGUGAAGCCCCCCUCAAGAU
Molecule: ribosomal RNA, 1582 nt
Filed under: Anaerocolumna aminovalerica
Lineage: Bacteria; Bacillati; Bacillota; Clostridia; Lachnospirales; Lachnospiraceae
Description: Clostridium aminovalericum Bacterial large subunit ribosomal RNA
Rfam family: Bacterial large subunit ribosomal RNA
Source: Rfam by way of RNAcentral